GUGAACCUGCGGAAGGAUCAUUAGUGAUUGCCUUUAUAGGCUUAUAACUAUAUCCACUUACACCUGUGAACUGUUCUACUACUUGACGCAAGUCGAGUAUUUUUACAAACAAUGUGUAAUGAACGUCGUUUUAUUAUAACAAAAUAAAACUUUCAACAACGGAUCUCUUGGCUCUCGCAUCGAUGAAGAACGCAGCGAAUUGCGAUAAGUAAUGUGAAUUGCAGAAUUCAGUGAAUCAUCGAAUCUUUGAACGCAGCUUGCGCUCUCUGGUAUUCCGGAGAGCAUGCCUGUUUCAGUGUCAUGAAAUCUCAACCACUAGGGUUUCCUAAUGGAUUGGAUUUGGGCGUCUGCGAUUUCUGAUCGCUCGCCUUAAAAGAGUUAGCAAGUUUGACAUUAAUGUCUGGUGUAAUAAGUUUCACUGGGUCCAUUGUGUUGAAGCGUGCUUCUAAUCGUCCGCAAGG
Molecule: ribosomal RNA, 461 nt
Filed under: Trichosporon asahii
Lineage: Eukaryota; Fungi; Basidiomycota; Tremellomycetes; Trichosporonales; Trichosporonaceae
Description: eukaryotic LSU rRNA
Rfam family: 5.8S ribosomal RNA (bases 148-301)
Source: RNAcentral